Molecule: ribosomal RNA, 298 nt
Filed under: uncultured bacterium
Lineage: Bacteria
Description: partial 16S ribosomal RNA
Rfam family: Bacterial small subunit ribosomal RNA
Source: RNAcentral
GGAUUAGAUACCCUGGUAGUCCACGCAGUAAACGUUGUUCACUAGGCGUAGCGGGUAUUGACCCCUGCUGUGCCGCAGCUAACGCAUUAAGUGAACCGCCUGGGGAGUACGGCCGCAAGGCUAAAACUCAAAGGAAUUGACGGGGGCCCGCACAAGCGGUGGAGCAUGUGGUUUAAUUCGACGCAACGCGAAGAACCUUACCUGGACUUGACAUUUCGAUCGCGGUUACCGGAGACGGUUUCCUUCAGUUCGGCUGGAUCGAGGACAGGUGCUGCAUGGCCGUCGUCAGCUCGUGCUG